This 282-nucleotide unclassified non-coding RNA is filed under the name Hevea brasiliensis (rubber tree). Lineage: Eukaryota; Viridiplantae; Streptophyta; Magnoliopsida; Malpighiales; Euphorbiaceae. The record is from RNAcentral.
ACCACUUGAGUUUUGUCUGGUUCGGCAGGCCUAAGAGGGGCCGUAUGAUGUUUUGGUGAUAUGAGCCUAAGGCCUUUGGAUUUUAAGUAUUGUUUGAGUUGCUUUGCAGGUUAGGUUGAUUCUAGAUACAGGGGAAACUCCACCGAUUUCUGACUUAAAUUAUGAUGUCCUUGACUCUUUAAAUUCCUAUUUUGUGUUAAUAUUAAUAAAAUCCAUGCAUAUAAUUGUUUAGGUGAAUAGAGUCUGCCUUUCUCUUCUGCCCAGCCACCGCAGUGAUUUCUG